CUACGGGUUGCAGCAGUGAGGAAUAUUGCACAAUGGGGGGAACCCUGAUGCAGCAACGCCGCGUGGAGGAUGACGCAUUUCGGUGUGUAAACUCCUUUUAUAUGUCAAGAAAAUGACGGUAGCAUAUGAAUAAGCACCGGCUAACUCCGUGCCAGCAGCCGCGGUAAUACGGAGGGUGCAAGCGUUACUCGGAAUCACUGGGCGUAAAGGACGCGUAGGCGGGUUGGAAAGUCAGGUGUGAAAUCCUACAGCUUAACUGUAGAACUGCACUUGAAACUUCUAAUCUAGAGUAUGGGAGGGGGAGAUGGAAUUAGUGGUGUAGGGGUAAAAUCCGCAGAUAUCACUAGGAAUACCUAAGGCGAAGGCGAUCUCCUGGAACAUUACUGACGCUAAGGCGUGAAAGCGUGGGGAGCAAACAGGAUUAGAUACCCUAGUAGUC
RNAcentral lists this ribosomal RNA (439 nucleotides) under uncultured bacterium. Its description in RNAcentral is "partial 16S ribosomal RNA". It matches the Rfam family "Bacterial small subunit ribosomal RNA", at positions 339 to 795 of the family's 1533-position model. The record is from RNAcentral.